This 595-nucleotide unclassified non-coding RNA is filed under the name Hevea brasiliensis (rubber tree). The record is from RNAcentral. Lineage: Eukaryota; Viridiplantae; Streptophyta; Magnoliopsida; Malpighiales; Euphorbiaceae.
UGGACUGCAGUUUAAGGGGCAAAAAAAUGGAAAAAAAAAAAUAAAGAAAGCUACAUUCAUACAAAAAUCUGCCCACUGAACAUCCAUUUUUGCAGGUGCACACUUCAAGAAAUGGUGUGUGAUGCAAUCCAAAAUUAAGGCAGGAGCAAUCAAUGAAUACAAGAAAGAGGUGGAGUUGAUGCUAGAAACGAUGCAGUCGUGUAUCAGAUCACAUUAUUCCGGCCGCGAGGCUGACAAGGCCUCUUCCUCCCCCAUUGUAACACAAGAUAGCAGCUGAGAACCCCCCGGCAUUACAAAUUUAGUUAUUCUUUCUUUAUUAAAUGUAAUUUUAUUUUUCUUUUUUUUAAUUAAUUUAAAAUUUUUACACGUAAAGAGAGCAACCAGGUUCCUUGUGAUGGCAAUAGCCAAUAGGUGUAAAUCUUGUGUGCAAUUAGUAUUUGUAACCUCACCCUGUCUCCUUUGAAGAGACCUAGUGGUGUGCGUUGUUGAUGUUCUAUGGUGUAAUGGCAAUCUCAGGCUUUGAAACACAGUGUUAUUCUCCUUUUGCUUGGAACUUGAAUUAGUGUUAAUUUAUGUCAAUAAAGGUAAAGAGAGA